GAGGCCUGCCUGCCCAGUGACAAACGUUCAACGGCCGCGGUAUCCUGACCGUGCAAAGGUAGCAUAAUCACUUGUUCCUUAAUUGGGGACUGGAAUGAAUGGCCUCACGAGGAUUCAACUGUCUCUUACCUCUAAUCAGUGAAAUUGACCUCCCCGUGAAGAGGCGGGGAUACAACAACAAGACGAGAAGACCCUAUGGAGCUUUAAUUUUCUGUCUUAACUACUAAGUAACUAACCCUACUGGGAUAAAAAAAAAGAGAAGUAAGUCAGUAAUUUCGGUUGGGGUGACCUCGGAGAAUAAGACAACCUCCGAAUGAUUUUAACCAAGACAAACAAGUCAAAGUAUUAAAAAUCAAAUUGACCCAAUUCAUUUGAUCAACGGACCAAGUUACCCUAGGGAUAACAGCGCAAUCCUAUUCAAGAGUCCAUAUCGACAAUUAGGGUUUACGACCUCGAUGUUGGAUCAGGACAUCCCAAUGGUGCAGCAGCUAUUAAUGGUUCGUUUGUUCAACGAUUAAAGUCCUACGUGAUCUG
Molecule: ribosomal RNA, 534 nt
Filed under: Microtus thomasi (Thomas's pine vole)
Lineage: Eukaryota; Metazoa; Chordata; Mammalia; Rodentia; Cricetidae
Description: partial 16S ribosomal RNA
Rfam family: Bacterial large subunit ribosomal RNA
Source: RNAcentral